This is a long non-coding RNA of Gavialis gangeticus (Gharial), 339 nucleotides long. RefSeq lists it as uncharacterized. The record is from RefSeq and is a predicted model, not a curated record. NCBI's taxonomy places the organism in Eukaryota, Metazoa, Chordata, Crocodylia, Gavialidae. The transcript has 3 exons.
GUUAACUGAUGUUAAUUGAUUAAAGAACAAUGCCCAAAGCCUGCAGAACAGAGGAGUGAUGCUGGAGAGAAGCCGGCACAGAGGCUAGGACUGAAGCCGGAGCUAUGGGGGAGCCAAAAGGUUGGAAAUGUAAGAGUACAGGGCAUGGAUUCUCUUUUCAGGGGUUUAGAGGGUCUUAAAUUGCACUGAAAGACAAGCCAAGGAUAAAACAAAUGCAAGAGUGAUUCUCCUCCUCGCUUCCUCAGAAAGCAAAUCUCAAACUUAAUGUCUGUGCAUAUAUGCGCCAAUUCAUAGAUGUCAUAGACAUUAGGGCUGGAAGGGACCUUGGAAGAUUAUCGA